AUUGAACGCUGGCGGCAUGCCUUACACAUGCAAGUCGAACGGCCGCACGGGAGCAAUCCUGGUGGCGAGUGGCGAACGGGUGAGUAAUAUAUCGGAACGUGCCCAGUCGUGGGGGAUAACGUAGCGAAAGCUACGCUAAUACCGCAUACGAUCUAGGGUUGAAAGCGGGGGAUCGCAAGACCUCGCGCGAUUGGAGCGGCCGAUAUCAGGUUAGGCAGUUGGUGCGGUAAAGGCUCACCAAGCCGACGAGCUGUAGCUGGUCUGACAGGACGACCAGCCCGACUGGCAAUGAGACACGGUCCAGACUCCUGCGCGAGGCAGCAGUGAGCAAUGUUGGACAAUGAGCGCAAGCCUGAUCCAGCAAUGCCGCGUGCAGGAUGAAGGCCUUCGGGUUGUUUACUGCUUUUGUGAGGAGCGAAACGGUGAGCUCUAAUACAGUUUGCUAAUGACGGUACCGCAAGUAUCAGAACCGGCUAACUACCUGCCAGCCGCCGCAGUAA
This 500-nucleotide ribosomal RNA is filed under the name uncultured bacterium. RNAcentral's name for it is "partial 16S ribosomal RNA". It matches the Rfam family "Bacterial small subunit ribosomal RNA", at positions 30 to 523 of the family's 1533-position model. The record is from RNAcentral.